GUCAGGAUGGCCGAGCGGUCUAAGGCGCUGCGUUCAGGUCACAGUCUCCCCUGGAGGCGUGGGUUCGAAUCCCAUUUCUGACA
Molecule: transfer RNA, 83 nt
Filed under: Dallia pectoralis (Alaska blackfish)
Lineage: Eukaryota; Metazoa; Chordata; Actinopteri; Esociformes; Umbridae
Description: tRNA-Leu
Rfam family: tRNA
About the family: Transfer RNA (tRNA) molecules are approximately 80 nucleotides in length. Their secondary structure includes four short double-helical elements and three loops (D, anti-codon, and T loops).
Source: RNAcentral